GAGACUGUGACAGAGCCAUUGAA
RNAcentral lists this non-coding RNA (23 nucleotides) under Cricetulus griseus (Chinese hamster). Lineage: Eukaryota; Metazoa; Chordata; Mammalia; Rodentia; Cricetidae. The record is from RNAcentral.